UUAUCAGGUGGAAGAACUCAGCU
Molecule: microRNA, 23 nt
Filed under: Mus musculus (house mouse)
Lineage: Eukaryota; Metazoa; Chordata; Mammalia; Rodentia; Muridae
Description: mmu-miR-6537-3p
Source: miRBase by way of RNAcentral